This 398-nucleotide ribosomal RNA is filed under the name uncultured bacterium. RNAcentral describes it as "bacterial SSU rRNA". It matches the Rfam family "Bacterial small subunit ribosomal RNA", at positions 28 to 429 of the family's 1533-position model. The record is from RNAcentral.
GACGAACGCUGGCGGCGUGCUUAACACAUGCAAGUCGAGCGGUAAGGCCCUUUCGGGGGUACACGAGCGGCGAACGGGUGAGUAACACGUGGGUGACCUGCCCUCAGCUCUGGGAUAAGCCUGGGAAACUGGGUCUAAUACUGGAUAUGACUCCACGGUGCAUGUCGUGGGGUGGAAAGCCUUGUGCGGCUGAGGAUGGGCCCGCGGCCUAUCAGCUUGUUGGUGGGGUGANGGCCUACCAAGGCGACGACGGGUAGCCGGCCUGAGAGGGCGACCGGCCACACUGGGACUGAGACACGGCCCAGACUCCUACGGGAGGCAGCAGUGGGGAAUCUUGCGCAAAUGGGCGAAAAGCCUGACGCAGCGACGCCGCGUGAGGGAUGACGGCCUGGUGUAAC